CCGCUUUGGUGCGCACUAACGUGUGCUUAAAAGGGAACCAGGUGAGAAUCCUGGACAGACCCGCUGCUGUAUUUCGCCUUUAUGCGAGGCAAACAAAACAGUCACUGAACCAACCAUUCGGGAAGACGUUUGCUCUCGGGCGAUGAGUCAGAAGACCUGCCAUUGACGAU
Molecule: non-coding RNA, 170 nt
Filed under: uncultured Prevotella sp.
Lineage: Bacteria; Pseudomonadati; Bacteroidota; Bacteroidia; Bacteroidales; Prevotellaceae
Source: RNAcentral